AGUGAACGCUGGCGGUAGGCCUAACACAUGCAAGUCGAACGGCAGCACAGUAAGAGCUUGCUCUUACGGGUGGCGAGUGGCGGACGGGUGAGGAAUACAUCGGAAUCUACUUUUUCGUGGGGGAUAACGGAGGGAAACUUACGCUAAUACCGCAUACGACCUACGGGUGAAAGCAGGGGAUCUUCGGACCUUUCGCGAUUGAAUGAGCCGAUGUCGGAUUAGCUAGUUGGCGGGGUAAAGGCCCACCAAGGCGACGAUCCGUAGCUGGUCUGAGAGGAUGAUCAGCCACACUGGAACUGAGACACGGUCCAGACUCCUACGGGAGGCAGCAGUGGGGAAUAUUGGACAAUGGGCGAAAGCCUGAUCCAGCCAUACCGCGUGGGUGAAGAAGGCCUUCGGGUUGUAAAGCCCUUUUGUUGGGAAAGAAAAGCAGCAGGUUAAUCCCCCGCUGUUCUGACGGUACCCAAAGAAUAAGCACCGGCUAACUUCGUG
This 492-nucleotide ribosomal RNA is filed under the name uncultured bacterium. RNAcentral's name for it is "partial 16S ribosomal RNA". It matches the Rfam family "Bacterial small subunit ribosomal RNA", at positions 29 to 507 of the family's 1533-position model. The record is from RNAcentral.